AUUGAACGCUGGCGGCAGGCUUAACACAUGCAAGUCGAGCGGGGGAAGGUAGCUUGCUACCGGACCUAGCGGCGGACGGGUGAGUAAUGCUUAGGAUUCUGCCUGUUAGUGGGGGACAACAUCUCGAAAGGGAUGCUAAUACCGCAUACGUCCUACGGGAGAAAGAAGGGGAUCUUCGGAACUUGAGCUAAUAGAUGAGCCUAAGUCGGAUUAGCUAGUUGGUGGGGUAAAGGCCUACCAAGGCGACGAGCUGUAGCGGGUCUGAGAGGAUGAUCCGCCACACUGGGACUGAGACACGGCCCAGACUCCUACGGGAGGCAGCAGUGGGGAAUAUUGGACAAUGGGGGGAACCCUGAUCCAGCCAUGCCGCGUGUGUGAAGAAGGCCUUAUGGUUGUAAAGCACUUUAAGCGAGGAGGAGGCUACUUUAGUUAAUACCUAGAGAUAGUGGACGUUACUCGCAGAAUAAGCACCGGCUAACUCUGUGCCAGCCGCCGCCGUAA
This 501-nucleotide ribosomal RNA is filed under the name uncultured bacterium. RNAcentral describes it as "partial 16S ribosomal RNA". It matches the Rfam family "Bacterial small subunit ribosomal RNA", at positions 30 to 523 of the family's 1533-position model. The record is from RNAcentral.